This 231-nucleotide ribosomal RNA is filed under the name uncultured bacterium. RNAcentral's name for it is "partial 16S ribosomal RNA". It matches the Rfam family "Bacterial small subunit ribosomal RNA", at positions 104 to 334 of the family's 1533-position model. The record is from RNAcentral.
CGGGGUGAGUAACGCGUGGAUAACCUGCCUCACACUGGGGGAUAACAGUUAGAAAUGACUGCUAAUACCGCAUAAGCGCACAGUACCGCAUGGUACAGUGUGAAAAACUCCGGUGGUGUGAGAUGGAUCCGCGUCUGAUUAGCCAGUUGGCGGGUAACGGCCCACCAAAGCGACGAUCAGUAGCCGACCUGAGAGGGUGACCGGCCACAUUGGGACUGAGACACGGCCCAA